UACGUAGGCAGCAACGUUGUUCGGAAUUACUGGGCGUAAAGAGUGUGUAGGCGGUGCUCCAAGUCUGGUGUGAAAUCUCCCGGCUCAACUGGGAGGGUGCAUUAGAAACUGGAAUGCUAGAGGAUGGGAGAGGUAAGCGGAAUUCCUGGUGUAGCGGUGAAAUGCGUAGAUAUCAGGAGGAACACCUGUGGUGUAGACAGCUUACUGGACCAUUUCUGACGCUGAGACACGAAAGCGUGGGUAGCAAACAGG
RNAcentral lists this ribosomal RNA (252 nucleotides) under uncultured bacterium. RNAcentral's name for it is "partial 16S ribosomal RNA". It matches the Rfam family "Bacterial small subunit ribosomal RNA", at positions 524 to 776 of the family's 1533-position model. The record is from RNAcentral.